UUACCGAGUGAGGGCCCUCUGGGUCCAACCUCCCACCCGUGUUUAUUUUACCUUGUUGCUUCGGCGGGCCCGCCUUAACUGGCCGCCGGGGGGCUUACGCCCCCGGGCCCGCGCCCGCCGAAGACACCCUCGAACUCUGUCUGAAGAUUGUAGUCUGAGUGAAAAUAUAAAUUAUUUAAAACUUUCAACAACGGAUCUCUUGGUUCCGGCAUCGAUGAAGAACGCAGCGAAAUGCGAUACGUAAUGUGAAUUGCAAAUUCAGUGAAUCAUCGAGUCUUUGAACGCACAUUGCGCCCCCUGGUAUUCCGGGGGGCAUGCCUGUCCGAGCGUCAUUUCUGCCCUCAAGCACGGCUUGUGUGUUGGGCCCCGUCCUCCGAUCCCGGGGGACGGGCCCGAAAGGCAGCGGCGGCACCGCGUCCGGUCCUCGAGCGUAUGGGGCUUUGUCACCCGCUCUGUAGGCCCGGCCGGCGCUUGCCGAUCAACCCAAAUUUUUAUCCAGGUUGACCUCGGAUCAGGUAGGGAUACCCGCUGAACUUAAGCAUAUCAAUAAGCGGAGGAAAAGAAACCAACAGGGAUUGCCCCAGUAACGGCGAGUGAAGCGGCAAGAGCUCAAAUUUGAAAGCUGGCUCCUUCGGGGUCCGCAUUGUAAUUUGUAGAGGAUGCUUCGGGAGCGGUCCCCAUCUAAGUGCCCUGGAACGGGACGUCAUAGAGGGUGAGAAUCCCGUAUGGGAUGGGGUGUCCGCGCCCGUGUGAAGCUCCUUCGACGAGUCGAGUUGUUUGGGAAUGCAGCUCUAAAUGGGUGGUAAAUUUCAUCUAAAGCUAAAUAUUGGCCGGAGACCGAUAGCGCACAAGUAGAGUGAUCGAAAGAUGAAAAGCACUUUGAAAAGAGAGUUAAAAAGCACGUGAAAUUGUUGAAAGGGAAGCGCUUGCGACCAGACUCGCUCGCGGGGUUCAGCCGGCAUUCGUGCCGGUGUACUUCCCCGCGGGCGGGCCAGCGUCGGUUUGGGCGGUCGGUCAAAGGCCCUCGGAAGGUAACGCCCCUAGGGGCGUCUUAUAGCCGAGGGUGCAAUGCGACCUGCCUAGACCGAGGAACGCG
RNAcentral lists this ribosomal RNA (1096 nucleotides) under Eurotiales sp. NC1321. RNAcentral's name for it is "eukaryotic LSU rRNA". The stretch from base 502 to 1096 matches the Rfam family "Eukaryotic large subunit ribosomal RNA", at positions 1 to 599 of the family's 3401-position model. Lineage: Eukaryota; Fungi; Ascomycota; Eurotiomycetes; Eurotiales. The record is from RNAcentral.